AGAGUUUGAUCCUGGCUCAGAUUGAACGCUGGCGGCAGGCUUAACACAUGCAAGUCGAGCGGAGAUGAGGUGCUUGCACCUUAUCUUAGCGGCGGACGGGUGAGUAAUGCUUAGGAAUCUGCCUAUUAGUGGGGGACAACAUUCCGAAAGGAAUGCUAAUACCGCAUACGUCCUACGGGAGAAAGCAGGGGAUCUUCGGACCUUGCGCUAAUAGAUGAGCCUAAGUCGGAUUAGCUAGCUGGUGGGGUAAAGGCCUACCAAGGCGACGAUCUGUAGCGGGUCUGAGAGGAUGAUCCGCCACACUGGGACUGAGACACGGCCCAGACUCCUACGGGAGGCAGCAGUGGGGAAUAUUGGACAAUGGGGGGAACCCUGAUCCAGCCAUGCCGCGUGUGUGAAGAAGGCCUUAUGGUUGUAAAGCACUUUAAGCGAGGAGGAGGCUACUGAGACUAAUACUCUUGGAUAGUGGACGUUACUCGCAGAAUAAGCACCGGCUAACUCUGUGCCAGCAGCCGCGGUAAUACAGAGGGUGCGAGCGUUAAUCGGAUUUACUGGGCGUAAAGCGUGCGUAGGCGGCUUUUUAAGUCGGAUGUGAAAUCCCCGAGCUUAACUUGGGAAUUGCAUUCGAUACUGGGAAGCUAGAGUAUGGGAGAGGAUGGGGUAGAAUUCCAGGUGUAGCGGUGAAAUGCGUAGAGAUCUGG
This 701-nucleotide ribosomal RNA is filed under the name uncultured Moraxellaceae bacterium. RNAcentral's name for it is "bacterial SSU rRNA". It matches the Rfam family "Bacterial small subunit ribosomal RNA", at positions 8 to 701 of the family's 1533-position model. The record is from RNAcentral. Lineage: Bacteria; Pseudomonadati; Pseudomonadota; Gammaproteobacteria; Moraxellales; Moraxellaceae.